Molecule: ribosomal RNA, 2901 nt
Filed under: Escherichia coli DEC1E
Lineage: Bacteria; Pseudomonadati; Pseudomonadota; Gammaproteobacteria; Enterobacterales; Enterobacteriaceae
Description: bacterial LSU rRNA
Rfam family: Bacterial large subunit ribosomal RNA
Source: RNAcentral
UUAAGCGACUAAGCGUACACGGUGGAUGCCCUGGCAGUCAGAGGCGAUGAAGGACGUGCUAAUCUGCGAUAAGCGUCGGUGAGGUGAUAUGAACCGUUAUAACCGGCGAUUUCCGAAUGGGGAAACCCAGUGUGUUUCGACACACUAUCAUUAACUGAAUCCAUAGGUUAAUGAGGCGAACCGGGGGAACUGAAACAUCUAAGUACCCCGAGGAAAAGAAAUCAACCGAGAUUCCCCCAGUAGCGGCGAGCGAACGGGGAGGAGCCCAGAGCCUGAAUCAGUGUGUGUGUUAGUGGAAGCGUCUGGAAAGGCGCGCGAUACAGGGUGACAGCCCCGUACACAAAAAUGCACAUAUUGUGAGCUCGAUGAGUAGGGCGGGACACGUGGUAUCCUGUCUGAAUAUGGGGGGACCAUCCUCCAAGGCUAAAUACUCCUGACUGACCGAUAGUGAACCAGUACCGUGAGGGAAAGGCGAAAAGAACCCCGGCGAGGGGAGUGAAAAAGAACCUGAAACCGUGUACGUACAAGCAGUGGGAGCCUCUUAAUGGGGUGACUGCGUACCUUUUGUAUAAUGGGUCAGCGACUUAUAUUCUGUAGCAAGGUUAACCGAAUAGGGGAGCCGAAGGGAAACCGAGUCUUAACUGGGCGUUAAGUUGCAGGGUAUAGACCCGAAACCCGGUGAUCUAGCCAUGGGCAGGUUGAAGGUUGGGUAACACUAACUGGAGGACCGAACCGACUAAUGUUGAAAAAUUAGCGGAUGACUUGUGGCUGGGGGUGAAAGGCCAAUCAAACCGGGAGAUAGCUGGUUCUCCCCGAAAGCUAUUUAGGUAGCGCCUCGUGAAUUCAUCUCCGGGGGUAGAGCACUGUUUCGGCAAGGGGGUCAUCCCGACUUACCAACCCGAUGCAAACUGCGAAUACCGGAGAAUGUUAUCACGGGAGACACACGGCGGGUGCUAACGUCCGUCGUGAAGAGGGAAACAACCCAGACCGCCAGCUAAGGUCCCAAAGUCAUGGUUAAGUGGGAAACGAUGUGGGAAGGCCCAGACAGCCAGGAUGUUGGCUUAGAAGCAGCCAUCAUUUAAAGAAAGCGUAAUAGCUCACUGGUCGAGUCGGCCUGCGCGGAAGAUGUAACGGGGCUAAACCAUGCACCGAAGCUGCGGCAGCGACACUAUGUGUUGUUGGGUAGGGGAGCGUUCUGUAAGCCUGUGAAGGUGGCCUGUGAGGGUUGCUGGAGGUAUCAGAAGUGCGAAUGCUGACAUAAGUAACGAUAAAGCGGGUGAAAAGCCCGCUCGCCGGAAGACCAAGGGUUCCUGUCCAACGUUAAUCGGGGCAGGGUGAGUCGACCCCUAAGGCGAGGCCGAAAGGCGUAGUCGAUGGGAAACAGGUUAAUAUUCCUGUACUUGGUGUUACUGCGAAGGGGGACGGAGAAGGCUAUGUUGGCCGGGCGACGGUUGUCCCGGUUUAAGCGUGUAGGCUGGUUUUCCAGGCAAAUCCGGAAAAUCAAGGCUGAGGCGUGAUGACGAGGCACUACGGUGCUGAAGCGACAAAUGCCCUGCUUCCAGGAAAAGCCUCUAAGCAUCAGGUAACAUCAAAUCGUACCCCAAACCGACACAGGUGGUCAGGUAGAGAAUACCAAGGCGCUUGAGAGAACUCGGGUGAAGGAACUAGGCAAAAUGGUGCCGUAACUUCGGGAGAAGGCACGCUGAUAUGUAGGUGAAGCGACUUGCUCGUGGAGCUGAAAUCAGUCGAAGAUACCAGCUGGCUGCAACUGUUUAUUAAAAACACAGCACUGUGCAAACACGAAAGUGGACGUAUACGGUGUGACGCCUGCCCGGUGCCGGAAGGUUAAUUGAUGGGGUUAGCGGUAACGCGAAGCUCUUGAUCGAAGCCCCGGUAAACGGCGGCCGUAACUAUAACGGUCCUAAGGUAGCGAAAUUCCUUGUCGGGUAAGUUCCGACCUGCACGAAUGGCGUAAUGAUGGCCAGGCUGUCUCCACCCGAGACUCAGUGAAAUUGAACUCGCUGUGAAGAUGCAGUGUACCCGCGGCAAGACGGAAAGACCCCGUGAACCUUUACUAUAGCUUGACACUGAACAUUGAGCCUUGAUGUGUAGGAUAGGUGGGAGGCUUUGAAGUGUGGACGCCAGUCUGCAUGGAGCCGGCCUUGAAAUACCACCCUUUAAUGUUUGAUGUUCUAACGUGGGCCCCUUACCGGGGUUGCGGACAGUGUCUGGUGGGUAGUUUGACUGGGGCGGUCUCCUCCUAAAGAGUAACGGAGGAGCACGAAGGUUGGCUAAUCCUGGUCGGACAUCAGGAGGUUAGUGCAAUGGCAUAAGCCAGCUUGACUGCGAGCGUGACGGCGCGAGCAGGUGCGAAAGCAGGUCAUAGUGAUCCGGUGGUUCUGAAUGGAAGGGCCAUCGCUCAACGGAUAAAAGGUACUCCGGGGAUAACAGGCUGAUACCGCCCAAGAGUUCAUAUCGACGGCGGUGUUUGGCACCUCGAUGUCGGCUCAUCACAUCCUGGGGCUGAAGUAGGUCCCAAGGGUAUGGCUGUUCGCCAUUUAAAGUGGUACGCGAGCUGGGUUUAGAACGUCGUGAGACAGUUCGGUCCCUAUCUGCCGUGGGCGCUGGAGAACUGAGGGGGGCUGCUCCUAGUACGAGAGGACCGGAGUGGACGCAUCACUGGUGUUCGGGUUGUCAUGCCAAUGGCACUGCCCGGUAGCUAAAUGCGGAAGAGAUAAGUGCUGAAAGCAUCUAAGCACGAAACUUGCCCCGAGAUGAGUUCUCCCUGACCCUUUAAGGGUCCUGAAGGAACGUUGAAGACGACGACGUUGAUAGGCCGGGUGUGUAAGCGCAGCGAUGCGUUGAGCUAACCGGUACUAAUGAACCGUGAGGCUUAACCUU